RNAcentral lists this ribosomal RNA (841 nucleotides) under Wolbachia endosymbiont of Culex quinquefasciatus NCCS. RNAcentral's name for it is "bacterial SSU rRNA". It matches the Rfam family "Bacterial small subunit ribosomal RNA", at positions 93 to 973 of the family's 1533-position model. Lineage: Bacteria; Pseudomonadati; Pseudomonadota; Alphaproteobacteria; Rickettsiales; Anaplasmataceae. The record is from RNAcentral.
UAGUGGCAGACGGGUGAGUAAUGUAUAGGAAUCUACCUAGUAGUACGGAAUAAUUGUUGGAAACGACAACUAAUACCGUAUACGCCCUACGGGGGAAAAAUUUAUUGCUAUUAGAUGAGCCUAUAUUAGAUUAGCUAGUUGGUGGGGUAAUAGCCUACCAAGGUAAUGAUCUAUAGCUGAUCUGAGAGGAUGAUCAGCCACACUGGAACUGAGAUACGGUCCAGACUCCUACGGGAGGCAGCAGUGGGGAAUAUUGGACAAUGGGCGAAAGCCUGAUCCAGCCAUGCCGCAUGAGUGAAGAAGGCCUUUGGGUUGUAAAGCUCUUUUAGUGAGGAAGAUAAUGACGGUACUCACAGAAGAAGUCCUGGCUAACUCCGUGCCAGCAGCCGCGGUAAUACGGAGAGGGCUAGCGUUAUUCGGAAUUAUUGGGCGUAAAGGGCGCGUAGGCUGGUUAAUAAGUUAAAAGUGAAAUCCCGAGGCUUAACCUUGGAAUUGCUUUUAAAACUAUUAAUCUAGAGAUUGAAAGAGGAUAGAGGAAUUCCUGAUGUAGAGGUAAAAUUCGUAAAUAUUAGGAGGAACACCAGUGGCGAAGGCGUCUAUCUGGUUCAAAUCUGACGCUGAAGCGCGAAGGCGUGGGGAGCAAACAGGAUUAGAUACCCUGGUAGUCCACGCUGUAAACGAUGAAUGUUAAAUAUGGGGAGUUUACUUUCUGUAUUACAGNUAACGCGUUAAACAUUCCGCCUGGGGACUACGGUCGCAAGAUUAAAACUCAAAGGAAUUGACGGGGACCCGCACAAGCGGUGGAGCAUGGGUUUAAUUGNAUGCNACGCAAAAAACCUUA